AUUUUCUAAGUAUACAUAGUACAGUUGACUUCCAAUCAACAAGCUCUGGUAAAAUCCAGAAGAAAAUA
RNAcentral lists this transfer RNA (68 nucleotides) under Smutsia gigantea (giant pangolin). RNAcentral's name for it is "Manis gigantea (giant pangolin) tRNA-Gly". It matches the Rfam family "tRNA". Rfam says of the family: Transfer RNA (tRNA) molecules are approximately 80 nucleotides in length. Their secondary structure includes four short double-helical elements and three loops (D, anti-codon, and T loops). Lineage: Eukaryota; Metazoa; Chordata; Mammalia; Pholidota; Manidae. The record is from RNAcentral.